This 484-nucleotide ribosomal RNA is filed under the name uncultured bacterium. Its description in RNAcentral is "partial 16S ribosomal RNA". It matches the Rfam family "Bacterial small subunit ribosomal RNA", at positions 30 to 507 of the family's 1533-position model. The record is from RNAcentral.
AUUGAACGCUGGCGGCAGGCCUAACACAUGCAAGUCGAGCGGAUGAAGGGAGCUUGCUCCUGGAUUCAGCGGCGGACGGGUGAGUAAUGCCUAGGAAUCUGCCCGGUAGUGGGGGAUAACGUCCGGACACGGGCGCUAAUACCGCAUACGUCCUGAGGGUGAAAGUGGGGGAUCUUCGGACCUCACGCUAUCAGAUGAGCCUAGGUCGGAUUAGCUAGUUGGUGGGGUAAAGGCCUACCAAGGCGACGAUCCGUAACUGGUCUGAGAGGAUGAUCAGUCACACUGGAACUGAGACACGGUCCAGACUCCUACGGGAGGCAGCAGUGGGGAAUAUUGGGCAAUGGGCGAAAGCCUGAUCCAGCCAUGCCGCGUGUGUGAAGAAGGUCUUCGGAUUGUAAAGCACUUUAAGUUGGGAGGAAGGGCAGUAAGUUAAUACCUUGCUGUUUUGACGUUACCAACAGAAUAAGCACCGGCUAACUUCGUG